Bubalus bubalis (water buffalo) is the source of this 1535-nucleotide long non-coding RNA. RefSeq lists it as uncharacterized. The record is from RefSeq and is a predicted model, not a curated record. NCBI's taxonomy places the organism in Eukaryota, Metazoa, Chordata, Mammalia, Artiodactyla, Bovidae. The transcript is spliced from 3 exons.
UCCCAUGGAGGGGGACAUGGCAACCCACUCGAGUAUUCUUACCUGGAGAAUCCCAUGGACAGAGGAGCCUGGGCUUGCCAAGAGUUAGACUUGACUGAGAGCUGACCCCAUAGAGUUAACACGAUCAAGAGUAACAACAGAACCAAUAGAAAAAAUUCACUCUGCCAAGACGCAACGCUGUCCUCUGCUCGCCAAGCCACAGGGUUUGUUCCCCCGGCCUUUGCGGAUCUCUGGGAAGCGGUCGCUUAAGUGUGGUACUCCCGCCCGGCUCGGGGAUCCACGCUGUCUUCCAGGAAUUCACACAAUAAACAGGUUUUGGAGAAACGCCAGCUCAUUACUCAGAUUUCCUUUUCAGAAUUCAGGUCACUUUCUACCCCCAGACCUUUCUGUCAUCAGUUACUGAAUUUCAGCUUUGGCUUUCUCCAUGGGACACAGAACAAACAAUUGGGUAAUUGGGUCACCUUCUGACUUAUAUCACUUCUCGUCCCAUUAUCUGAGGUGAUCCGCUUGACUUUCGCAGUAGACGAGAUUGGUGCCCUCAGGAAACCUGAGAAACCUUCCCGAAGAUCUGAUCCCGGGGAAGAGGUUAAGUCUUCAAUGAGGAAAACAACGAAAUAGGAUCCAAUGGCAGGCAGAUUUAUUUAUUUGUUUAUUUCUGCCUGCUUUCUUCUGGGCCUUUGUUGCUGCCCACAGACUUCCUCCAGUUGCCAUAAGCAGGAGUCACUCUUCAUUGCGGCACAGGCCUUCAUCGCGGUGGCUUCUCUUGCUGCGGUGUGGGUUCUAGGCAUGUGGCCUUCAGCGGUUGCUGCAGGCGGGCUCAAUAUUUGUGGCGCAGCUUUUUGAUGUGUUUUCUGGCCUCCUUGUCUCUCACGUGCCUGCACUCACCCCACUUUCUCUCCCUGGAGGCGAUGUGUCCUGGCACGGAGUCAUUCCCGCCAGCCUCCCGAGUCCAGUUUGGAAGCCUUCCCGCGGGCUUCCAGAGGGAAGGCCUUUGGGAAAGAAUAGUGUGAGAGCAACAUGGGAGUGAUGAUGAGAAGUCAGCCCCUGGGGGCCAGCCUGGAGAGUGCUCCUGACCAGAAGAGCCGGUGCAAAGUUCGGAGCUGCGGAAGCGCUUGGUGAUUCCCGGAGAGCGGAAGAAAUCAAGGAGAGGAGCCUGGAGAGAAGCAGGAAGGCAGCUGAUGAGCUGGCUGUGCCUCUGGACAUAAGCAGGACCCCGUGUCCCUGUAAGUCAGAUCAGCUUAUGGAAUUUCUGAGGGAAAAUAAUCUCCAGCAUUUUAUGGAAUGUGACUGGCUGGUGAGGUCUAAUGAAAGAGGAAAUUUGAAAAAUAAAGUAUAGGAAUUUCUUAGUUCUAUUUUGUUGCCUAUGGGAAUUAAAAACUGAAUCAAGAAUGGUAACAAUCCUCUUUAAAUCUGAGGACUCAAAAUUCUGGAGAGUUCUUAUGUCUGGAUGUCUUACUAAAGCUGCUGCUGCUAAGUCACUUUAGUCGUGUCCGACCCUGUGCGACCCCAUAGGCGGCAGCCCAUCAGGCUCCCCU